UAGGGAAUAUUGGACAAUGGGGGCAACCCUGAUCCAGCCAUGCCGCGUGAGUGAAGAAGGCCCUCGGGUUGUAAAGCUCUUUUGUCCGGAAAGAAAAGCUUCGGGUUAAUACCCCGGGGUUCUGACGGUACCGGAAGAAUAAGCACCGGCUAACUUCGUGCCAGCAGCCGCGGUAAUACGAAGGGUGCAAGCGUUACUCGGAAUUACUGGGCGUAAAGCGUGCGUAGGUGGUUGUUUAAGUCUGAUGUGAAAGCCCUGGGCUCAACCUGGGAAUGGCAUUGGAAACUGGGCAGGUAGAGUGCGGUAGAGGGUAGUGGAAUUCCCGGUGUAGCAGUGAAAUGCGUAGAGAUCGGGAGGAACAUCUGUGGCGAAGGCGACUGCCUGGACCAGCACUGACACUGAGGCACGAAAGCGUGGGGAGCAAACA
Molecule: ribosomal RNA, 427 nt
Filed under: uncultured bacterium
Lineage: Bacteria
Description: bacterial SSU rRNA
Rfam family: Bacterial small subunit ribosomal RNA
Source: RNAcentral